GCAGCAGUGAGGAAUAUUGGUCAAUGGGCGAGAGCCUGAACCAGCCAAGUAGCGUGAAGGAUGACUGCCCUAUGGGUUGUAAACUUCUUUUAUAAAGGAAUAAAGUCGGGUAUGGAUACCCGUUUGCAUGUACUUUAUGAAUAAGGAUCGGCUAACUCCGUGCCAGCAGCCGCGGUAAUACGGAGGAUCCGAGCGUUAUCCGGAUUUAUUGGGUUUAAAGGGAGCGUAGAUGGAUGUUUAAGUCAGUUGUGAAAGUUUGCGGCUCAACCGUAAAAUUGCAGUUGAUACUGGAUAUCUUGAGUGCAGUUGAGGCAGGCGGAAUUCGUGGUGUAGCGGUGAAAUGCUUAGAUAUCACGAAGAACUCCGAUUGCGAAGGCAGCCUGCUAAGCUGCAACUGACAUUGAGGCUCGAAAGUGUGGGUAUCAAACAGGAUUAGAUACCCUGGUAGUCCACACGGUAAACGAUGAAUACUCGCUGUUUGCGAUAUACUGCAA
Molecule: ribosomal RNA, 494 nt
Filed under: uncultured bacterium
Lineage: Bacteria
Description: bacterial SSU rRNA
Rfam family: Bacterial small subunit ribosomal RNA
Source: RNAcentral